Molecule: transfer RNA, 72 nt
Filed under: Perkinsus olseni
Lineage: Eukaryota; Perkinsozoa; Perkinsida; Perkinsidae
Description: tRNA-Ser
Rfam family: tRNA
About the family: Transfer RNA (tRNA) molecules are approximately 80 nucleotides in length. Their secondary structure includes four short double-helical elements and three loops (D, anti-codon, and T loops).
Source: RNAcentral
GCCGGUUUAGCUUAGUGGUAGAGCGUCAAUCUUGAAAACUGAAGGUCGGUGGUUCGAUCCCGCUAACCGGCU